RNAcentral lists this ribosomal RNA (545 nucleotides) under uncultured bacterium. RNAcentral's name for it is "bacterial SSU rRNA". It matches the Rfam family "Bacterial small subunit ribosomal RNA", at positions 777 to 1319 of the family's 1533-position model. The record is from RNAcentral.
AAUAGAUACCCAGGUAGUCCAUGCCGUAAACGUUGGGCACUAGGUGUGGGGGACAUUCCACGUUUUCCGCGCCGUAGCUAACGCAUUAAGUGCCCCGCCUGGGGAGUACGGCCGCAAGGCUAAAACUCAAAGGAAUUGACGGGGGCCCGCACAAGCGGCGGAGCAUGCGGAUUAAUUCGAUGCAACGCGAAGAACCUUACCAAGGCUUGACAUGAACCGGACCGGGCUGAAAACAGUCUUUCCCCUUGUGGGCUGGUUUACAGGUGGUGCAUGGUUGUCGUCAGCUCGUGUCGUGAGAUGUUGGGUUAAGUCCCGCAACGAGCGCAACCCUCGUUCUAUGUUGCCAGCACGUGAUGGUGGGGACUCAUAGGAGACUGCCGGGGUCAACUCGGAGGAAGGUGGGGACGACGUCAAAUCAUCAUGCCCCUUAUGUCUUGGGCUUCACGCAUGCUACAAUGGCCGGUACAAAGGGUUGCGAUACUGUGAGGUGGAGCUAAUCCCAAAAAGCCGGUCUCAGUUCGGAUUGGGGUCUGCAACUCGACCCC